Molecule: ribosomal RNA, 498 nt
Filed under: uncultured bacterium
Lineage: Bacteria
Description: bacterial SSU rRNA
Rfam family: Bacterial small subunit ribosomal RNA
Source: RNAcentral
AUGAACGCUGGCGGCGUGCCUAAUACAUGCAAGUCGAGCGAAUGGAUUAAGAGCUUGCUCUUAUGAAGUUAGCGGCGGACGGGUGAGUAACACGUGGGUAACCUGCCCAUAAGACUGGGAUAACUCCGGGAAACCGGGGCUAAUACCGGAUAACAUUUUGAAUCGCAUGGUUCGAAAUUGAAAGGCGGCUUCGGCUGUCACUUAUGGAUGGACCCGCGUCGCAUUAGCUAGUUGGUGAGGUAACGGCUCACCAAGGCAACGAUGCGUAGCCGACCUGAGAGGGUGAUCGGCCACACUGGGACUGAGACACGGCCCAGACUCCUACGGGAGGCAGCAGUAGGGAAUCUUCCGCAAUGGACGAAAGUCUGACGGAGCAACGCCGCGUGAGUGAUGAAGGCUUUCGGGUCGUAAAACUCUGUUGUUAGGGAAGAACAAGUGCUAGUUGAAUAAGCUGGCACCUUGACGGUACCUAACCAGAAAGCCACGGCUAACUACGUG